RNAcentral lists this ribosomal RNA (264 nucleotides) under Triticum aestivum (bread wheat). Its description in RNAcentral is "partial small subunit ribosomal RNA". Lineage: Eukaryota; Viridiplantae; Streptophyta; Magnoliopsida; Poales; Poaceae. The record is from RNAcentral.
AGCAAAGCCUUGGGCGUGAAGAACCAGAAGCUUUCAACCUACGAGAAAGAGUUCUUGGCUGUGAUGAUGGCCGUGGACAAAUGGCGCUCUUACCUCCAACGCGGGCCGUUCACCAUCAUCACCGACCACAAGAGCCUGUGCACACUCGGGGAUCAGCAACUGGUGACCGAUGUCCAGCGCCGCGCCAUGUCCAAGCUCGUCGGCCUUCAAUUCAAGUUUCAAUACAAGCACGGGAUCGACAAUGGCGCCGCGGACGCACUCUCG